CCAGCACCCCGAGUGGUCGGGACGAUUAUUGGGCCUAAAGCAUCCGUAGCCGGUUUUACAAGUCCUCCGUUAAAUCCAACUGCUUAACAGAUGGGCCGCGGAGGAUACUAUAAGACUAGGAGGCAGGAGAGGCAAGCGGUACUCAGUGGGUAGGGGUAAAAUCCGUUGAUCCAUUGAAGACCACCAGUGGCGAAGGCGGCUUGCCAGAAUGCGCUCGACGGUGAGGGAUGAAAGCUAGGGGGGAGCAAACCGGGUUAGAUACCCGGGUAGUCCCAGCUGUAAACGAUGCAGACUCGGUGAUGGACUAGCUUCAUGCUAGUCCAGUGCGCAGGGAGCCGUUAAGUCUGCCGCCUGGGUAGUACGGUCGCAAGACUG
RNAcentral lists this ribosomal RNA (375 nucleotides) under uncultured organism. RNAcentral describes it as "bacterial SSU rRNA". It matches the Rfam family "Archaeal small subunit ribosomal RNA", at positions 476 to 851 of the family's 1478-position model. The record is from RNAcentral.